AGGCCGGAUAGUAGUGAAAUCGGUAGCGCACGGUUCUCAACAAAACUAGAUGAGCGUCGAUAGGAGUCGUGUUUUCCAGGAACCUCAUUUUUUUCAUUGAAAAAACGAUGCACGUUGAUAGCGCGAGGAUUUGUGAAUCUGGAAAGGCUCGAAUGAAGAAACCAGUUCGGAUGAACAGAACGUAGGACGAGCACGAGCGAGAUGACGCACAAUGAGUAUGGACACGAAAUGAGAGGUGGAGAUGAGACUGAGAGUAAAAAAUGAGUGACGAGUUCGAAAUAAGUAAAUGAGAACGAAAAUGAAUUCUACGUUUGUACGAAGAUACUUUCUUUCGAAAAAUAAAAUCAGACAAGAAAGUUAUUGGUAGAUCGAUUUACAUACUCGAUGUCUAUGCUUGAGAAAUGAUAUUCGUCUAUCGUGAAGGCUGACUCGCAAAGUUUCCUGGGAUAACUCGUAAUCACGUCGUUCCCAAUGACCAACGUGGAUCAACGAAGGAAGCUCGAACUCGGUGUGAUCGAUAAAAGUGGGGUUGCGGAGCUCUACUGGAGUUUCAAUGGAAAAACGAAUCGGGAGGAAGAGAAAAACAUGGGAAAGGGAUCGACGAAUGGGAAGGAAAAAGAAGAAGAGCCCGAGAGGAGAAAAAGAGAAACAUUUUGACUGUUUUGUGCCGGAAUAAUGGAGUCGCUUAAGUCUCACUACUCAUUUGAGCAGACUGCGGAGCAAACUUCAGCCUCGUUAGCAUCCUGUUGCCUGCAGCUGCGAACGUGCACUCGAUGAGAUAGGGACGUUUGCAGUGGUGACGACAGCGAUCAGCAGAACGGAAGGAGACGGAGAAGUGCAAGUACGGAGAGAUGGCAGAACAUAAAAACAGUAAAGCUGGGAGAAAGAGGCCAAGCCGCUCGGGAAGAGAGCGAGAGAGAGAAGCACAAGUUUUAUAUACGCGUAUAGGUAAAGGGAGUAGAAACGAGAAAGGGAGAAAGGGAGAGAGCAAGGAAAGAGGCGAGUGGGUGUGCGUGUGUAUCCUGAUACACGGUAGAGUGCUUUUGAAGCGAGUGCAGUAGACUGACGAAGCUCCGACGUGCACGGUCUGGUGAUUAGCGCCGCCCCCCGGGGACGGUAACCGCCAAUCGGUGGACGGCGUCGGGACGCCGACGUCAGGGCUCGCCGCACAAUCGCGGGCUCCGCAGAAACGCGGAUAGUGGGAUAGGGGACACAAGCAGAGCCACGACAAAAAUCAAUCACCGCUUGUGCUCCGGCUUUCAUGUACACGCGAUGCUGUGCCGCUGGAUUCCAUCUCGCAUCUCCGACUCUACUUCCACUUCGUUCAUCGGAGUUUCAUUUGAAACUCACUCUCAUCGCUCGCCUCCUCCGAGUGCUGCACGACGACACGAAAAUUUUAUGACUCCAUGUUAAGUGUAAAACAACAUGACGGCAAAGUUUUGCGAUCCUUCCCCAAACGACGAUACGUGACGAGAAAUUUUCAACUUUCGUUUCGCGAUUACGAAUGCGCGAUUUAUUUCAUGAGUCAUAACGACCCGCACGACGAUGCGCGCAUCGAGGUUUGCAAAAACUUGCGAAAAAAUGGUAACCAUCUUUGGAGUAAUAUGCGACAAAUGAUCCGUGCAUAAGUUCUCACUGUCACGUUAUUGUAAUGCCAAUAAUUAUGUCAAUAAAGUAUUUCGUACGACCUCCUUCCCCCGACA
Venturia canescens is the source of this 1703-nucleotide long non-coding RNA. RefSeq lists it as uncharacterized. Lineage: Eukaryota; Metazoa; Arthropoda; Insecta; Hymenoptera; Ichneumonidae. The transcript has 2 exons. The record is from RefSeq and is a predicted model, not a curated record.